AGUGAACGCUGGCGGUAGGCCUAACACAUGCAAGUCGAACGGCAGCACAGUAAGAGCUUGCUCUUACGGGUGGCGAGUGGCGGACGGGCGAGGAAUACAUCGGAAUCUACUUUUUCGUGGGGGAUAACGUAGGGAAACUUACGCUAAUACCGCAUACGACCUACGGGUGAAAGCAGGGGAUCUUCGGACCUUGCGCGAUUGAAUGAGCCGAUGUCGGAUUAGCUAGUUGGCGGGGUAAAGGCCCACCAAGGCGACGAUCCGUAGCUGGUCUGAGAGGAUGAUCAGCCACACUGGAACUGAGACACGGUCAGACUCCUACGGGAGGCAGCAGUGGGGAAUAUUGGACAAUGGGCGCAAGCCUGAUCCAGCCAUACCGCGUGGGUGAAGAAGGCCUUCGGGUUGUAAAGCCCUUUUGUUGGGAAAGAAAAGCAGCAGGUUAAUACCCCGCUGUUCUGACGGUACCCAAAGAAUAAGCACCGGCUAACUUCGUG
Molecule: ribosomal RNA, 491 nt
Filed under: uncultured bacterium
Lineage: Bacteria
Description: partial 16S ribosomal RNA
Rfam family: Bacterial small subunit ribosomal RNA
Source: RNAcentral